GUUUGUCACAUACUAGUUUUCUUAACAAAUCGAAUCAAGUAUCUUGCAGUUAAAACUUAUGUUUAUUCAAACAUACACAUCAUCCGGUAAUAACAUAUAGUCAUUAACGGUCUUUGUCCAAUACAGAGCAAUGUUCAAGAUGUUAUCCAUUUUUGAUGUUAAAGGUAUUGGCCACGAAUUCUAAGCUACGAUCAGUUUUAUAGGUUUAAAAUUCAAUUACCGAGGGGCGUAUACAUAAGAUUGCCUUACUUUAAAAUAUGUGGCUAUCUUAGAAAGAGGGGAGGGAAUCUAUGAUUAAAGCCAUACGUUAUAUUUGGCAGUAAGCUACACAAAGGUUCUAUAUGCAUGGUAAAUGAAUAGAUGCCUUUAGAAAUAUGAGCCUUGGUAAUACAGAGGGAGACUGGCUAGCAAAGCUUAGGUCAAAGGUUACUAUAAACAGGCCCUUCAUCUAUCACUCUUAAAGUGAACCAGAUGUGGUCUCCAUUCCUAUACAAUGAAAGUCUGUAAUACUGUAGGACUAGGUAUGGCUUCUCAAUUUCAGUGUUCUGGAAGUAAUCUGAAUAAAACUUAUAAUAUUUAUAUCAACACAUUAAAUAUUUAAUAGUUCAUAAAAUAUAUUUCAACUAAUGCCUUUAAAUUGCUGCCAAUCCACCCCACACUGUGGCACCUGUAUGGCAUCAAGUGGUCCGGGAACUACUAUUUUUUCUCCUGUUUAACUUUUGGGUCCAAAAGUAGCCCAGCUAUUUUCGACACAUUUGCCGAAGCAUUGUGCUGGUUACUAUUGAACAUAGCCAGAUGCCCUACUGUAUUACACUACCUGGAUGAUUUCUUACUGGUCGAGGAGCAUACUCCCCCUCCCAGUAACCUCAAAGCUACCACCAAGCUAUUUGAGCAGCUAGGUGUCCCAAUGUCCCCUAAGAAAACGGAGGGGCCAGACACGAUUAUCACAUUCCUGGGUAUUCAAUUAGACUCAACCACAAUGCAAGCAAGCCUGCCACAUGACAAGAUAGAGAACAUUCUUACCUACAUCGACCACUACCUUCAGCUCGGUACCUGCAACCGCAAAGAACUACAGUCCCUGCAGGGUUCACUAAAUUUUGCCAUGUGUAUCAUACCUCAAGGCCGCUCCUUCAUAUCACGCCUCCUGUAUCUUUUUCCACUCUUCCUACAUGACACACACAGGUUGUCCUUAGAUACUCAAGCUACGGCAGACUUACGCAUGUGGAAGGAAUUUUUAACCACUUGGAAUGGUAAAAGUAUGUUCCUCCCUCAAUUGACUGACUCAUCACCUACCAUUUGGUCAGAUGCGGCAUCUACCACAGGUUUUGCAGCAAUUUUUGUGAACGAAUGGCUUUGGGGAAGCUGGCCUACAGCAGUUCAGGAUUUGGAAGGUUUUUCCACUACCUCAGCUCUCUUUGAGAUCUAUCCCAUUGUGGCGGCUGCCGUAGCAUUUAUGGGCAAACAUGCCAGUACAUUGCUACUCAGAUAACCAGGCAACCUGUCACAUCAUCAACAAAGGUCAUUUCAAAUCCCUUUCAAUCAUGAGAUUUCUGAGAAAACUUACUUGGUUGGCGGCCUGUCAUAAUUUCUUUCUGUAUUGUUUCCAUGUUCCAGGUAUAUGUAACACAGCUGCUGACAGUUUGUCUCGUUUUAAAUUUCAGGCAUUUCAUCAAGCACUCCCGUCAGCUGCGCUCACAGCCACCACUACUCCAACAUUUCAACAACUAAUACUGGACUAGACACCAUCAUGUACCAUAGCAGGGCACUGUCCCAAUUGGCACUGUCAAAAAAUAUGCACAAAACAUACAACAGGGCUUUUGCAUUAUUCAAAAGAUUCCUUUUGGAACAUAACAUCAUGCAACCUUUUGUCAUGACAUCUUUUUUGGGUUUUGCUUCUUUUUGCCACCUUAAACUUAAAAUGUCAUACAACACCAUCAAACUUUAUCUCACAGGCAUUCAACACCAUAUGCUAAUCUUACAACCAAACAACACAAGUUUCAUGGCAUCUCACCAGAUCAAGACCAUACUCAGAGGCAUUCAGAGAUCUGAACCCACACGUACAUCACAGAGGCUACCCAUAGACAACCAUAUCUUCAAAGCAUUAUCUAACCUGCUUGAUUUAAAACCUUUUGACACCAACACAAAUUCUGUCAUCAAAGCAGCAAUAUACAUAGCUUUCUAUGGAUUCCUAAGACCUAGAGAAUUCACUACAACCAACGUGACACAAUCUACUCCUAUUCUCCUCUAUUUCCACUUAACAAAACACAUGGAUCAUUACAUCCUGACUCUACCUCACUCCAAAACCAGUCAGCAUGCACCAGUACAAAUAACAUACUAUCCCACGCACAACAGGUAUUGCCCCGUCAAGAUUAUUGAUGCAUACAUACAACAUCAUAAUUUACUACCAUCACAACCAUUAUUCCUAUUACAAAGUUCGGUACUCACCACUACAACCUUCAUGACCUACGUCAGGUCUUUACUCACUCAACUGGGCCUCAACGCAGCUAACUACUCAGGGCACUCCUUCCGCACAGGGGCGGCAUCCACAGCCUCCAGUGUCAACAUUCCAGUUCAUGUUAUAAAAACACUGGGGCGCUGGAAAUCAUCCGCCUACUCACGGUACAUACCGAACCCAGUACAAGAAUUAAGGGAUGCUUUCAAAAACAUGUCUGGUUGAUAUAUGUAUC
RNAcentral lists this long non-coding RNA (2687 nucleotides) under Pelobates cultripes (western spadefoot toad). The record is from RNAcentral. Lineage: Eukaryota; Metazoa; Chordata; Amphibia; Anura; Pelobatidae.